This 240-nucleotide ribosomal RNA is filed under the name uncultured bacterium. RNAcentral describes it as "partial 16S ribosomal RNA". It matches the Rfam family "Bacterial small subunit ribosomal RNA", at positions 537 to 776 of the family's 1533-position model. The record is from RNAcentral.
AGCGUUAUUCGGAUUCACUGGGCGUAAAGGGUGCGCAGGCGGUUGGGUGUGUCAGAUGUGAAAUCCCGAGGCUCAACCUCGGAACUGCGUCUGAAACUACUCGACUAGAGUACUGGAGAGGGUAACGGAAUUCACGGUGUAGCAGUGAAAUGCGUAGAUAUCGUGAGGAACACCAGAGGCGAAGGCGGUUACCUGGACAGUUACUGACGCUCAGGCACGAAAGCAUGGGGAGCAAAAGGG